GUCAGUGUGAUAAGCUUAUGUUUUUGCGCUGUGACUGUGAAGUGUAUUUGACCAAGCUUCUAACAAAAUGAUAUAUGGGAUUUUUGGGCUUCUGACCUCAAAUCAGGUAGGAGUACCCGCUGAACUUAAGCAUAUCAAUAAGCGGAGGAAAAGAAACUAACAAGGAUUCCCCUAGUAACUGCGAGUGAAGCGGGAAAAGCUCAAAUUUAAAAUCUGGCAGUCUUUGGCUGUCCGAGUUGUAGUCUGGAGAAGUGCUUUCUGUGCUGGACCAUGUACAAGUCUCUUGGAACAGAGCGUCAUAGAGGGUGAGAAUCCCGUCUUUGACAUGGACUACCAGUGCUUUAUGAUGCGCUCUCAAAGAGUCGAGUUGUUUGGGAAUGCAGCUCAAAAUGGGUGGUGAAUUCCAUCUAAAGCUAAAUACAGGCGAGAGACCGAUAGCGAACAAGUACCGUGAGGGAAAGAUGAAAAGCACUUUGGAAAGAGAGUUAAACAGUACGUGAAAUUGCUGAAAGGGAAACGCUUGAAGUCAGUCGCGUUGUUUAGAACUCAGCCUUGCUUUUGCUUGGUGCAUUUUCUAUUCAACGGGUCAACAUCAAUUUUGACUAUCAGAAAAGGGCGAGGGUAAUGUGGCACCUCCGGGUGUGUUAUAGACCGCAGUCAAAUGUGAUAGUUGGGAUUGAGGAAUGCAGCACGCCCGCAAGGGUAGGGGGUUUAUCCUACUUUCGUGCUUAGGAUGUUGACAUAAUGGCUUUAAACGACCCGC
RNAcentral lists this ribosomal RNA (763 nucleotides) under uncultured Polyporales. Its description in RNAcentral is "eukaryotic LSU rRNA". The stretch from base 93 to 763 matches the Rfam family "Eukaryotic large subunit ribosomal RNA", at positions 1 to 652 of the family's 3401-position model. Lineage: Eukaryota; Fungi; Basidiomycota; Agaricomycetes; Polyporales. The record is from RNAcentral.